GCAGUGCCGCUCCAUAGAGGAAGUGGAUCUCUUUCACAACAAGUCAUCAGUAUGUCUACACCUCCUAAUCUUAGUUCAUCCCAGGACACAGGGACGUAACCCUCGGUGUUGGGAUGCAGCUCAGGAAAGCUGCAGGAACACGGGUCUAAAUCUGGAGACGAGGAGGGAAGUGUAUAUCCUCUUCUCAUCCGCCAUGCUCCCUGCUUCCUAAUUACACAUCACAAGCCCCUGCUUGCCUGUCAAUCAGCUGUCUACAGAGCGACAAGCUGUGUCUUCAAACAAGGAAGGAGUAGGACAAUCCGAUCCUUACCUCCCUGGUGUCUAAGUUUGUUGGUGCAGCAGAGGUGUGUGGGUGUGGAGACGGAGAACGCGUUUCAGCUCCGAGCGGUCCUCACAAGCCGGUCUCUGGAGGUCCAGGGUCUAACUCCUGGAAUACUAGAAGCAAGGCAGGAAUGCACCCCGAACAGGAUGAUAAUCCACCUCAGAACUCUAUGCACAGAAGGGAUGUGCAUCUCCAUAACGAAGGCCCAUGGGAUACGCUCGAUGCACAGCCAAUGAUAAGACACUUAUGAAGCAGACACCGAUGCGAUAAAGAUGCAGCUCUACCUCUGCCAUGUUGAUCUAUGUACCAUGUGACUCCAAGGACACGCCUGGAUCUCCGUAGUGUUGUGAUACGCCAUAUUCGCGUAGCAGCAGUGGUGCCGAGAGAACGCGCUCGAGAAACGGUUUAGCGAGGAGAAAUCAAUCCGCAUACAAGGUAUUGUCCACAAACAAACGGUCACUUUCUAAAUGCGUAUAAAUGGUCAGUUUCUAAAUAAGUAUAGCAAAUCUAAUAAUUAUAAAUAAAGAAAUCAGUUUUUACAGAUGCAAAUAUGUUAAAAACAAUGCAAACGCUUGUAACCGAUGCGCACUGGAAUGGUUUCGAAGGGUGGGAGAAAACUUAAAAACAAGACAAAGAAGGGCACAGUGAGAGCAUGCAAAAUUUGCAUGCAAAAAUCUGAGCUCAGGAUCAAAGCAGGAAACUUGUAGCCACGAGGAAGCAAAGCAACCUGCAGCACCAGUGUGUCCCCAAUCGAAUGCUGACGACGUACGAAAGAAUCGGUUACUUUUAAUUAUGUCGUAGAGAUUUGAUGCAUUAUUAAACUUCCCAAAUGCAAACAAAUCAAGACAAUGUAAGAAAUGGGGUGGAGGGAAAAAAAUAUUUUUUCUAUGACAAAAAAAAUAAACCGAUUACAGAAAACGCUGAGCAUUCAAGAACAAUGGUGGGUCACCAAUUUUCUGUGGAUUUGUGGCUAAAAUAAUAACGCUGAACUUUCCUACGCUCAUUUUGACCACACACAUUCCCACCCCAAGUUCUCAACCCCAGGACAGCGUGGUUACAGUGUGAAGGCCAUGGCAGCAAAAUUUACUAAUUGAGCUGGCAGAAACGUUUCUGCCUCGUACUGUGACUCCAGCAGCUCACUUCCAAUGCCAAUUUAACUGAGAACAUAUGCCAAGCUGUUAUGACAGGUCAAUGCCUGAGUGUGCAUGAAAUAAUAAUGAGCAAUUAUGCCAAGAACGAGGGCAAUUACCUUGUGUGUUACCUUGUGUGGUAUAAAUCAGGACUUAAGCGUUUCUUGUUGUUUUAAGGGAUUUCCCUGCUCUAAUGAAAGUGCUUCGGGAUGGGAUGGAGUAGGAGGUAGCUGAGAAGCUGUACGAGAUGUGCUACAGUGCCGGAUGAGAUGAGACGCUAGACUAUCGAGAGCAACGGGGCUCCAUGAAUGGCGCUCAGAAGCCGUUAAAUAAGGAGGCAACAAAGUGCAGAACGACGUAAAUAAAGUCAGCGGGUGUCGUCUUUUCUCUUUCUCUCCUUCUUCGCUCCAGCUGAGUUAAGGAUUCUUUCCUGGAAAAGUCUGUUCGCCCUAAAGACAACAUAAUCCUGCCAUGCACCCUUGAAGUAAAAUAAAUAAAUAAAGCAAAAAAGUUCGGAGGCUUCGAUAUGCAGCAGAUGGAUAACAAUUGUACUUGUGCUGGGAUUCCAACAGCUUUCCUGCUAAACCGUUUCCCAGCACUUCCGGAGUAUUCCGUUAGCUGACGAAGCACCGAUCUUCACUUCACCACACGUCGAAUGGCUUUAGCAAUACCUUUAUUUCGUACGAACAGCAUUGCGACUAUCAAGGAGUUGGUUUCCUUAUCGCUGAACUCGCUAAAUGCUUACAGAAUCCAUAGCCUGUAAAAUUCCUUCCAAAGUGAAUUCAUGCUGAAAUGUACGCCUGGUGAAAUGCUGUCACGAGUGAGCAAUUAAUGGUUAGAUACAUGAAAGAAGAAAGCAUUUGUUACUGUGAGGCUCUAAGUGUAAUGGGAAGCGUAGCUGGAAAUUUUCAAAUGAUGACAAUUAAAAAAAAAAAUAAUAAAAAAAUUUCAACAUUCUAUUCGCAAAGUAAAACAAUUUUAAUAUUAUGGCCAUUUCACAAACUUGCAAAUGCAAAACUCUUAUUCAUGCAGCUGAAUGUACUGUACCUUCCUCGUGGAAUACAAAGAUUGACUAACACUAAAGAUCAACACUAAAAGAACUGUUCCAGCAUGACCAUGUCCCCAAUGCCAUGAAUACAUGUUUGGCGUGAAAGAACUCGAGCCCUGACCUCAACUUUACUAAACAAACCCCAGUGCUCCAAAGAAAAAUACCACGCCCUCGCUCAGAUUUCUAGUAGAAAUCAUUAUAUACUGCAUUUUCAUACCCAAUGCUUUGUUUCCCCUGAAACAAAAAAGCUAAUAUCCCAGUCAUCAUCCCAGAAAGUUUCUCACAUCGGGCUUAAUAUUUACACAUCAAGUCAUACUGAAAGAUUGUAGAAAUCCAAGUAGAUUAACUUUAAGCUUCAAAGUAGUCUAUUGAAAAGAGCCUGCUUUAUUGUCAAGAGACAGCAAGUUCAAAUCCCAUUGUCAGAACUCAAAAAGCUAAACAAAAAAAAGAAUGAGAAGAUCACUGGGAUAGACAUGGAUCAUGAGAAAAUCAUGUAGAUCAUGAGUUCAAUCUAAUUAUACCACCAGGAGCUAAUCUGUGGGUACCUGUAAACUUGUGUAUUUGGAAGAAUGCAGACUGCACUAUCCUCUGGUUAUGUUACACUACUCUGAGAAAGCACAUGUUAACCUUCAUCCUCCUUUUUAUUAGCUGUUGCAUUGAGCUGGUAAGAACUGGGAGGUGACCAUUUGGGAAAAACGAGAGAAAUAUAAAAAGGUUUCUGGCUACUAAAGUUUUUCCUUUAUUUUUAGUCCUUUUCUAUGUAAACACUAGGAUUAUACUGUGCAAUGUGACAGUAUCCCAAUACUACACUCUCACUGUUUCAUACACACCUAAUAAUUGCCAGCACUUCACAAGAACUGGAUCUGUUUUAAUGAUUUUUGUGGGUGACUUUGUUUAGCUUCUCUUCACUAGUGUGUGAAGGUUCAGCCCAUUCCUGUUCCUCUGAUGUUUUAAGAUAGAAGUGAUUUUUAAAUACUUUCCAAAAGGUAUUUUUGCAUUAGGACAGCAAUGGAUCUGUGCUUCCAAUAGAAGAAUAGAAUAGAAUAAAAUCUGCCUGUGUGUGUGUAUGCAUGUGUGUGUGUGUGUGCUUAGAUUACAAAGUGUCAUAAUCCCUAUUUUUCCUUCUCUCUCUCUCUCUCUCUCUCCUUUGUCUUCUCUUUUUGUCUAUAACACUCAGAAGAUGAUGAGGUCCACUUUUCCCCUGCAGAGGAACAUAUGAUGCUUACCUGUAUCUCUGUGUGUGUGUGUGUGUGUGUGUGUGUGUGUGUGUGUGUGUGUGUGUGUGUGUGUGUGUGUGUGCGCGCGCGCAUGCAGUUGUGUGUCUAUGUAUGGAAAGAAAAAAGAUAAAAGAGAGAGUGGCCUAGACAGUAACAUCCACUCAGAGCUGAAUCGUAUUUUCCUUUCAGAACUGUGCUCCUUCAAUGCGAAGGUAUUUUUCAAAUCUCAUAACUAAACACACGUUCAAGUCUGCAAGGACAUAACUGUCGCUGAGGUGGAGGCAGAAUAGUGCAGUUUUGAUUUGCUGAAGUCAAGUCUUUGGUCUGCAGCAGCCUCAAAUAUCGACAGCAAGAACAUUGAAGCGUUUUCAUCAUUAUUACUGCACUUGUUGACUUGUGUGAGAAAUUGACAGAAUCAUAUUUAUUAUAUAUUUUUUUUUAAAUACAAGUAAACAAGGCUUGUUGUAUCCCACUAAUUAUUACUACAUUAUAUUAAAAUACUACUGCAAACAUUUAUAUAAGUCGUGUUCUGCUGAUUUUACACAGAGCAGAGUCUAACUGUUCAUUUGAAUUUCAAGUAUGAAUAUAAAGGAACAGAAAAAACUUUAACUAGUGUUGAAUUCUGAAGGUUUAGUGACUUCAAUGUGUGUGUGUGUGUGUGUGUGUGUGUGUGUGUGUGUGUGUGUGUGUG
Molecule: long non-coding RNA, 4408 nt
Organism: Silurus meridionalis
Lineage: Eukaryota; Metazoa; Chordata; Actinopteri; Siluriformes; Siluridae
Exons: 3
Source: RefSeq, a predicted model, not a curated record